RNAcentral lists this ribosomal RNA (419 nucleotides) under uncultured Prevotella sp. RNAcentral's name for it is "bacterial SSU rRNA". It matches the Rfam family "Bacterial small subunit ribosomal RNA", at positions 358 to 774 of the family's 1533-position model. The record is from RNAcentral. Lineage: Bacteria; Pseudomonadati; Bacteroidota; Bacteroidia; Bacteroidales; Prevotellaceae.
GGAAUAUUGGUCAAUGGACGGAAGUCUGAACCAGCCAAGUAGCGUGCAGGAUGACGGCCCUAUGGGUUGUAAACUGCUUUUGUACGGGAAUAAAGUGAGGGACGUGUCCCUUUUUGUAUGUACCGUAAGAAUAAGGACCGGCUAAUUCCGUGCCAGCAGCCGCGGUAAUACGGAAGGUCCGGGCGUUAUCCGGAUUUAUUGGGUUUAAAGGGAGCGCAGGCGUAGGCUUAAGCGUGACGUGACAUGUCCCGGCUCAACCGUGGAACUGCGUCGCGAACUGGUUUUCUUGAGUGAGUACGACGUCAGCGGAAUUUGUGGUGUAGCGGUGAAAUGCUUAGAUAUCACGAAGAACCCCGAUUGCGAAGGCAGCUGACGAGUCCUUAACUGACGCUAAAGCUCGAAAGUGCGGGUAUCGAACA